AUACUUACCUGGAUGGGGUCAUUGGGUGGUCAUGAUGGCCCAUGGCCUAGGGUUGUGAUCUCCAUUGCACUUAGGAGGGGUGCUUCCCUAAGGUCUACCCAAGUGGUGGAGCCUACAUCAUAAUUUGUGGUAGUGGGGCCUGCGUUCGCGCAACCCCUUC
RNAcentral lists this small nuclear RNA (160 nucleotides) under Lupinus albus (white lupine). Its description in RNAcentral is "U1 spliceosomal RNA". It matches the Rfam family "U1 spliceosomal RNA". Rfam says of the family: U1 is a small nuclear RNA (snRNA) component of the spliceosome (involved in pre-mRNA splicing). Its 5' end forms complementary base pairs with the 5' splice junction, thus defining the 5' donor site of an intron. The record is from Rfam by way of RNAcentral. Lineage: Eukaryota; Viridiplantae; Streptophyta; Magnoliopsida; Fabales; Fabaceae.